This 524-nucleotide ribosomal RNA is filed under the name Harpactorini sp. 00019741. RNAcentral's name for it is "partial 16S ribosomal RNA". It matches the Rfam family "Bacterial large subunit ribosomal RNA", at positions 1814 to 2605 of the family's 2925-position model. Lineage: Eukaryota; Metazoa; Arthropoda; Insecta; Hemiptera; Reduviidae. The record is from RNAcentral.
CAUGUCCUUUUGUCUAUAAAUAUAAGGUCUAACCUGCCCAAUGAUUUUAAAUUUAAUGGCCGCGGUAUUUUAACUGUGCUAAGGUAGCAUAAUCACUUGUCUUUUAAUUAAAGGCUAGAAUGAAUGGUUGGACGAAGUAUGUGCUUUCUUUAAUUUAAUUUUUUGAAUUUAAUUUUUUAGUUAAAAAGCUAAAAUUUAUUUGAGGGACGAGAAGACCCUAUAGAUCUUUAUAUUAAAUUGUAUUUCUUAUAUUGGAGAAUAAGAAUAUGUUGAUAUUUAAUAAUAUUUGAUUGGGGCGAUUAUAGAAUUAUUUUAACUUCUAUUUUUAGAUUAUCACAAAUUAGUGUUAAAUUGAUCCAGCAUUGCUGAUUAAAAGAUUAAGUUACCUUAGGGAUAACAGCGUAAUUUCUUUGGAGAGUUCUUAUCGAUAAAGUAGUUUGCGACCUCGAUGUUGGAUUAAAAUAAGUAUAAGGUGCAGAAGCUUUAUUACUAGGUCUGUUCGACCUUUAAUUUUUUACAUGAUC